This 213-nucleotide unclassified non-coding RNA is filed under the name Tricholoma pessundatum. Its description in RNAcentral is "partial internal transcribed spacer 2". The record is from RNAcentral. Lineage: Eukaryota; Fungi; Basidiomycota; Agaricomycetes; Agaricales; Tricholomataceae.
AAUUCUCAACCUUUUUGGCUUUUUCUAAGGUCGAUCAGGCUUGGAUAUGGGAGUUUGCGGGCUUUUCUAAAGUCGGCUCUCCUUAAAUUUAUUAGUAGGGACCUCUGUUGCCUUAGCUUUUGGUGUGAUAAUUAUCUACGCCAUCAUGUGAAGCAGCUUUUAAAAUUGGAGGUUACUGCUCUCUAACCGUCUCAUAUGGGACAUUUCCUGACA